AUAUUAGAAAAUUAACCAUGCUUGGAACAAUGUCCCUGGUAAAACCAAUAGGUGCAAUUGUGAUAAAAAAAAAUGAUCUGGAGUUCAGAUAAAAGUACGAAGAAAUAUGAAAAACAAACAAUUGCUAUGAAUGUUGUGUGCCAAGUCACCCUCCAU
Long non-coding RNA from Rhodamnia argentea, 156 nucleotides. RefSeq lists it as uncharacterized. The transcript has 3 exons. Lineage: Eukaryota; Viridiplantae; Streptophyta; Magnoliopsida; Myrtales; Myrtaceae. The record is from RefSeq and is a predicted model, not a curated record.